Bubalus bubalis (water buffalo) is the source of this 1752-nucleotide long non-coding RNA. RefSeq lists it as uncharacterized. The transcript has 3 exons. Lineage: Eukaryota; Metazoa; Chordata; Mammalia; Artiodactyla; Bovidae. The record is from RefSeq and is a predicted model, not a curated record.
UCUACGCUCUCGUGGUGACUCAGUAGCAGGACAAUUUAAGAGAAUCCAGGAGCUUUGACUAACCGGCUACUCAGCCAUGACCCUGCCCUGUUGAAGGAAGUAGAAAGGACGGGAAUUGGUCAGUCAACAGCACUCAGGUGCCAAGUCGUGAACACACUGUGGGGAGGAGACCGGCGACAGAAAAUGACUGGAAGACACAAGGAAUCCCUAAAAGAUCGAAAAAAUGUUCUCCACAAACUAAACAAAGUUAGAUUGGGAAAUGCAGCAUGGUACCAUGGGGGCCUGGUUUGGCCAUGACCCGCCUGCCCACAGGCGCCGGCCUCAGAUGCUCACAGCGGCCUGGGGAGAGAGGGGACACUUUGACUUUUCAAGAUCUAAGAGUUAUGGUUCCCUUUUGGCAAAAUGCCUUUUGUCCUGUGAUACACUUGAGUCCUUUGUGAUACACUUGAGCACCGACUGUGGCCUUGGCAGCCCAGGUAGGAGUCAUUCAACCUUCUUCAGCAGAUGGAAGUGAUUUUUAAGUGAAUACAGAAAGCAGCCCCACCCACACCCUCCUCUGUCAGGAAUGAAGCAUCUGUGAUGGAAGAUAUCUGCAGCCUGGGGAAAAAAUUAACUGCGACAGCUCCAUUGCACGUUGUGGGGUCAUAUUUUUAUUGAUGUGAAAUUCUUGCUCUCUACUAUCCGAUUUUUGUUAACUACUGAAUCUAAAUCUUGUCGGGUCUUGUGCUUGCCAACCCCUGUAAUUAGCAUGAUAUCCUAGAUUGUUUUUAAAUUGAAGUGGCCUGGUUUCUGUGUCUAACCUGUGCAGUUAGAGGCCCCGGGGCUGAGAUUAUAUCUGGGGCUCUCCCUGGACCCCUCUCUUCCACGCCCUGGCUGGAGACUGAGCAUCAAAACCUCCCGUGGAAACCUGGAUCCAGAGUUCAGGAACUGGGAGGCUGGCACAGGAGAGGGGGUGCGGGUGAUGUCAAGCACCCUUCUCUGGGACUUGCAAGUUGCCACAGGGGGGGUGGCACAUCCCCCCCACCCCCCACCCCCGCCCCAUUGCUGGCUGUGCAUGGUAAGGAUGGGCUCCAUCCUCAGUGGGAGGGCUUCGCUAUCUCACACAAGGCUGCCUACAGGGCUUGAACACUUCAAUGUGGGGAGGAGACGCCCAGAUUUGGAUACUGGCUUGGCCAGUCCUGGUGCGGAUGUCCAGCCUCUCUGCUGGGUGAAGGCUGAAUCCUGGCACCCGCCAGUGCAGCUUUUUCCUCGCAGCCUAGAUGAGACAAUUAGAAAAACCAGAGCCUGGAGAAUCCCAGGGACGGGGAAGCCUGGUGGGCUGCUGUCUAUGGGUCGCACAGAGUCGGACACGACUGAAGCAACUUAGCAGCAGCAUCAGCAGCGGCAGAGAGGUAAAGAGAACUUCCGCUCAAUCCUAGCUUCUGUCUUCUCAAUAGAGGAGAGCGUGGCAACCCACUCCAAUAUUCUUGCCUGGAGAAUCCUAUGGACAGAGGAGCCCUACAGUUCAUGGGGUCAAAGAGUCAGACGCGACUAAAGCGUGACCAUCUCAUCAGAGGAUCCCUCCCACCUACCCUACACCACCGAACCAAAUGGACCAACGACAUCAGGCAGCUUCUUUUAAAUCUCACCCCCAGGGCCUCUAACUGCACAGGUAAGACACAGAAACCAGGCCACUGCAAUUUAAAAGAAGCCUUGCAGCUUCUUAAAGACCAGGGUCAAGUGCAUAUAAAGUCCUUCCGUUACUUACCUUCA